GUCUGUAUAGAUUAUUUAAUCAUGAUGCUGUUAACUUCAAGAAGAAUAUCAUUCUACAGUCG
RNAcentral lists this transfer RNA (62 nucleotides) under Cladotaenia vulturi. Its description in RNAcentral is "tRNA-Asn". Lineage: Eukaryota; Metazoa; Platyhelminthes; Cestoda; Cyclophyllidea; Paruterinidae. The record is from RNAcentral.